RNAcentral lists this long non-coding RNA (393 nucleotides) under Homo sapiens (human). RNAcentral's name for it is "non-protein coding lnc-LRRC49-7:1". Lineage: Eukaryota; Metazoa; Chordata; Mammalia; Primates; Hominidae. The record is from RNAcentral.
GACCCCUGCGUGGGAAGUCAGCACCCAGCUGCCUUGGCCCUCAGCCUAUUUCCUUUCCCCAUGAGACCCCACUUCCCUACUCCUCAGCCCCUGCCCCUCUGGACAGGGCCACCUCCAGCCACUGUCCCCAGGUGGGAUGCCAGACUCUAGCCAACUCGGCCUCUAGGGCUGCAGGGCUGGGCCAUCCAGAGGACCUCCCUGCUUGAAGGGGUACAAAGCCCCUCCCUCAGAAUAGACCUCCAGGUUCAGUAUUUGAGCACCCUUGCCCCACUAUAGCUCAGAGCUCCACCCUCUGUCCCCUUCUCCCAUUGAAGACCCUCAGCCAGACGGACCUCUGCUGCCCCUGUUCCUCCCAAAUACCCCAAAGGACCCACUGCCACCUCCUUGAGUGCU